RNAcentral lists this long non-coding RNA (226 nucleotides) under Elaeis guineensis (African oil palm). RNAcentral describes it as "long non-coding RNA (EGUI_LNC004091)". Lineage: Eukaryota; Viridiplantae; Streptophyta; Magnoliopsida; Arecales; Arecaceae. The record is from RNAcentral.
AAGAGCUUUGGUCUGACCUUGGCGUUGUAAUAUCGGGCUACCUUCUGACAUAGUUCGUACUUUCGGACCAACUCAGCCGCGUCUUUCCUCAUGGUGGGCCAAUAGUAACCCUAUCGCAGGACUUUGUAGGCUAGGGAUUUGCCCCCCAAGUGAUUCCCGCAGAUUCCUUCGUGCACUUCUCGGAGAGCAUAGUCUGCGUCGAUCGGUCCCAAGCACCUGAGCAAGG